RNAcentral lists this long non-coding RNA (530 nucleotides) under Dasypus novemcinctus (nine-banded armadillo). RNAcentral's name for it is "lncRNA (ENSDNOG00000051826.1)". The record is from RNAcentral. Lineage: Eukaryota; Metazoa; Chordata; Mammalia; Cingulata; Dasypodidae.
CCCGCGGAGCCCCUGCGGAGCCGCCCCGCACGCGCGCGCGCGCCCCAGCCCCAGUCUCCGGCCUCGCGUGGGGCUGUCCGGGUGGCGGCGGGCGGUGGGGCAGGACGAGAAGCCAGCUCCACGUGCAGCUGCUGUGCGGAGCCCGUGAUUCCUCAGAACUUAGAUGUCGCUGUACCUGUAGAUACAGAAUGCAGCUGCUUUCCCUCUCCCAGUUGCUUCCUGCCUUGUGACCACACACCCGGGCUUGACAAAGUUCAGAUCAGAAAGAAGGAGGUUUCUGGUCACACACCAGUACAACAGAGUACCAAUUUUCUACAAGGUAAAUUUUCUUUCCGUCUUUUUUGUUGUUUUAAAGAGCGGGUGAUACUGAUGUGUGUUUUGGGACUCUGAGUCUGUGGCUUGAGGACUUGGUCUUUGGGGCAAAGCACCUGUGACCUGUGCACCCUGCGGCCGUUGAACUGCCCAGGAGACCCAGAGCCACCUUCUGUGGCCAUCUGGGUUGGGGUCUUCUCAAGUCCUCCACAGAAGCU